RNAcentral lists this ribosomal RNA (381 nucleotides) under Triticum aestivum (bread wheat). RNAcentral's name for it is "partial small subunit ribosomal RNA". The record is from RNAcentral. Lineage: Eukaryota; Viridiplantae; Streptophyta; Magnoliopsida; Poales; Poaceae.
AUAGAAGACACGAUUGCCUACUUCGAAGAGAAAGCAAAAGAAGAUCCUAAUUUCUUCUACAGGAUAAGAUUGGACGAUGAGGAACGUGUUAGAAACAUGUAUUGGGUGGAUGGUGCUGCAAGAAGAGCCUACAAACAUUUCCGUAAUUGCAUUUCUUCCGAGGCGACAUAUCUCACGAAUAUGUACAUGAUGCCAUGUGCUCCAUUCAUAGGAAUAAAUAACCACAAUCAGUCCUUGCAGUUCGGUCGCAGUCUCGUGCGGAACAAAGAUACUGAUGGUUACACUUGGUUGUUCAAAACCUUCUUGGAGUGAACGGGUGGACUUUCUCCGAUGAACAUAAGCUACACGAGGCGUUCGAGUUGUGUGUGGACCACAGCUUGA